GCAUGCUGCUUGGGCUGGAGGAGUGUUCCCUGGUAUAGUCAGGAGGAAACAGACCUAAGCACUGGGGACACUAACUCUGUGAGCAGGGCAGAGAGGCUGGAGAUGGACCAUCCAUGGGAAACAGGACCCAGCUUGGGCCCCGCCACUCCAGACAACAUCUAGGGGGCCCUUCCAAGGGAUGCCGCAGAGCCCGGCAUCAUCCCUUCCUGCUCACCGGUGUGGACCCAGCAGUGCCCAGAUGGGGCUGCAAGUGCUUGCUUGGCAAAGGCCACCUUGCCCAUGAAUCACCACGACCCAUGUCCCCAUGUCCUAGAGCUAUUCCUGCCAUCCUCUUCAUCCUCUUCGAGCACCAGCCUUAAUAAGCCCAUUGCCAGGCACCACCUCCUGGUUACCAGGAUUUCAGGCAAGGAGUUUUCUAUACAAUCUUCCUAUAAUGAAAGCGUAAAACCCUUUCAUCUACACUGGCCAGGAGGUUCCAGGAAGGAAGGCUUCAGGGAGAAGGUUCUCUGCUCACUUGUGACCCGUUAUCGCAGGGCGGUCGGCCAGGAUGGAUUUACAGCUCGUUGA
RNAcentral lists this long non-coding RNA (567 nucleotides) under Mustela putorius furo (domestic ferret). RNAcentral's name for it is "lncRNA (ENSMPUG00000024166.1)". The record is from RNAcentral. Lineage: Eukaryota; Metazoa; Chordata; Mammalia; Carnivora; Mustelidae.